RNAcentral lists this unclassified non-coding RNA (281 nucleotides) under air metagenome. RNAcentral's name for it is "partial contains small subunit ribosomal RNA, internal transcribed spacer 1, and 5.8S ribosomal RNA". The stretch from base 1 to 46 matches the Rfam family "Eukaryotic small subunit ribosomal RNA", at positions 1786 to 1831 of the family's 1831-position model. The record is from RNAcentral.
AAGUCGUAACAAGGUUUCCGUAGGUGAACCUGCGGAAGGAUCAUUAAUGAGUUUAGGGUCUCAUCUCGAGCCCGAACCUCCAACCCUUUGUCUAAAACACUUUGUUGCUUUGGCAGGCCCGUCUGACAAUCCCUUAACCGGGAUAGACGACCGCCGGGGGCGUUUAGUCACCUCUGGUCAGUGCUUGCCGAUAGCCUAUUCAAAAAUUCUUUAUUAAAUCAUGUCUGAAAAAUCAUAAUUAAAUAUAAUUAAAACUUUUAACAACGGAUCUCUUGGUUCUG